This 676-nucleotide long non-coding RNA is filed under the name Capra hircus (goat). RNAcentral's name for it is "lncRNA (ENSCHIG00000007685.1)". The record is from RNAcentral. Lineage: Eukaryota; Metazoa; Chordata; Mammalia; Artiodactyla; Bovidae.
AAAAUCAGGCCCUCGCAGUUCCUAAUAAUGGGGAAUGAGGCCCCCCAGAUGCCUCAGAUUCCAGCUGAGUUGCUUUCACCGCGCCCACCCACCCCUCAGGAACAGGGUCCAAAUCAGGCGGUGUGAGUGACUCCUCCAGGCCUCCCGCGUGCCUUCCCACCACCCAUGUGCUUUCCUCGCCCGCACCAUCGCUAAUGGGGGGUCGAGAUCCGCUGAGAUGAGAGUGCCUGUGGGAAAUGAGCUGGAAAGGAAACAGACAACUACAACAAAAUGGCUCAAAAUCCAACCUUUCUAACCUGAAGAAUGGUUCCUUCCCUCUCAGUCACACAACCCCGCAACCCAGUGGCUGCACAAAAGGAGGGACAUUUUCUAAUUGCUCAAGGUAAAAUACCAGGAACUGCUUGGAUGAAUGGAAAAAAGCAGAGAUUCAUGAGCUGGAAUGGGAUGGCCUGGAAUGAAGUUGAAGACUUAGAUGGACUAGAAUUUUGUGAAUGGUAUAGUCAUCCCUGAAUAUCUGCCAGAGAUUGGUUCCAGGAGCCCCUAUGAAUACCAAAAUCUGCGGAUGCUCAAGUUCCUCAUGGAAAAUGUCAUAAUACAAUUGCUACAAUCAGCCAUUUUUAUCCACGUGUUUCACAUCUAUGGAUUUAACCAACUGCAGAUGAAUACCUGUUUAAGG